RNAcentral lists this ribosomal RNA (253 nucleotides) under uncultured bacterium. RNAcentral's name for it is "partial 16S ribosomal RNA". It matches the Rfam family "Bacterial small subunit ribosomal RNA", at positions 524 to 776 of the family's 1533-position model. The record is from RNAcentral.
UACGAAGGGGGCUAGCGUUGCUCGGAAUCACUGGGCGUAAAGGGUGCGUAGGCGGGUCUUUAAGUCAGGGGUGAAAUCCUGGAGCUCAACUCCAGAACUGCCUUUGAUACUGAGGAUCUUGAGUACGGGAGAGGUGAGUGGAACUGCGAGUGUAGAGGUGAAAUUCGUAGAUAUUCGCAAGAACACCAGUGGCGAAGGCGGCUCACUGGCCCGUUACUGACGCUGAGGCGCGAAAGCGUGGGGAGCAAACCGG